This 272-nucleotide long non-coding RNA is filed under the name Physcomitrium patens. RNAcentral's name for it is "long non-coding RNA (PPAT_LNC007011)". Lineage: Eukaryota; Viridiplantae; Streptophyta; Bryopsida; Funariales; Funariaceae. The record is from RNAcentral.
AUGCUUCGGGUCGGGAAAGGAAAGACAUAGAAUUUGGAUUUUUCUUCUUCGUAGAGUUUUGGGAAGACUGAGGCAAUCGCUGCUGAAGUUAGUGUUGUAAUGGUGAAUCGGGAUUUUUAAAUGAAGAGGAUUUGAAUACUCUUGAUUAUUUUGUAAAAUCAAGUUACGUCUGUGAUUGAAGGAUUAAAGGGGUGUCUAUAGGAUUGAGUAUGCGGAGUGAAUGAAAUUUAUUGGGUUAAUCUAACAGGACAGUCAGUGGAUAUAAGAUCGUA